Molecule: ribosomal RNA, 2923 nt
Filed under: Klebsiella pneumoniae
Lineage: Bacteria; Pseudomonadati; Pseudomonadota; Gammaproteobacteria; Enterobacterales; Enterobacteriaceae
Description: 23S ribosomal RNA
Rfam family: Bacterial large subunit ribosomal RNA
Source: RNAcentral
GGGUUGUGAGGUUAAGCGACUAAGCGUACACGGUGGAUGCCCUGGCAGUCAGAGGCGAUGAAGGACGUGCUAAUCUGCGAAAAGCGUCGGUAAGGUGAUAUGAACCGUUAUAACCGGCGAUGUCCGAAUGGGGAAACCCAGUGUGAUUCGUCACACUAUCGUUAACUGAAUACAUAGGUUAACGAGGCGAACCGGGGGAACUGAAACAUCUAAGUACCCCGAGGAAAAGAAAUCAACCGAGAUUCCCCCAGUAGCGGCGAGCGAACGGGGAGCAGCCCAGAGUCUGAAUCAGCUUGUGUGUUAGUGGAACGGUCUGGAAAGUCCGACGGUACAGGGUGAUAGUCCCGUACACCAAAAUGCACAGGCUGUGAACUCGAAGAGUAGGGCGGGACACGUGGUAUCCUGUCUGAAUAUGGGGGGACCAUCCUCCAAGGCUAAAUACUCCUGACUGACCGAUAGUGAACCAGUACCGUGAGGGAAAGGCGAAAAGAACCCCGGCGAGGGGAGUGAAAAAGAACCUGAAACCGUGUACGUACAAGCAGUGGGAGCACCUUCGGGUGUGACUGCGUACCUUUUGUAUAAUGGGUCAGCGACUUAUAUUCUGUAGCAAGGUUAACCGUAUAGGGGAGCCGCAGGGAAACCGAGUCUUAACUGGGCGUUAAGUUGCAGGGUAUAGACCCGAAACCCGGUGAUCUAGCCAUGGGCAGGUUGAAGGUUGGGUAACACUAACUGGAGGACCGAACCGACUAAUGUUGAAAAAUUAGCGGAUGACUUGUGGCUGGGGGUGAAAGGCCAAUCAAACCGGGAGAUAGCUGGUUCUCCCCGAAAGCUAUUUAGGUAGCGCCUCGUGAACUCAUCUUCGGGGGUAGAGCACUGUUUCGGCUAGGGGGUCAUCCCGACUUACCAACCCGAUGCAAACUACGAAUACCGAAGAAUGUUAUCACGGGAGACACACGGCGGGUGCUAACGUCCGUCGUGAAGAGGGAAACAACCCAGACCGCCAGCUAAGGUCCCAAAGUCAUGGUUAAGUGGGAAACGAUGUGGGAAGGCACAGACAGCCAGGAUGUUGGCUUAGAAGCAGCCAUCAUUUAAAGAAAGCGUAAUAGCUCACUGGUCGAGUCGGCCUGCGCGGAAGAUGUAACGGGGCUAAACCAUGCACCGAAGCUGCGGCAGCGACACUAUGUGUUGUUGGGUAGGGGAGCGUUCUGUAAGCCUGCGAAGGUGUGCUGUGAGGCAUGCUGGAGGUAUCAGAAGUGCGAAUGCUGACAUAAGUAACGAUAAAGCGGGUGAAAAGCCCGCUCGCCGGAAGACCAAGGGUUCCUGUCCAACGUUAAUCGGGGCAGGGUGAGUCGACCCCUAAGGCGAGGCCGAAAGGCGUAGUCGAUGGGAAACAGGUUAAUAUUCCUGUACUUGGUGUUACUGCGAAGGGGGGACGGAGAAGGCUAUGUUAGCCGGGCGACGGUUGUCCCGGUUUAAGCAUGUAGGCUGGUUGUCCAGGCAAAUCCGGAUAAUCAAGGCUGAGGUGUGAUGACGAGGCACUACGGUGCUGAAGUAACAAAUGCCCUGCUUCCAGGAAAAGCCUCUAAGCAUCAGGUAACAUUAAAUCGUACCCCAAACCGACACAGGUGGUCAGGUAGAGAAUACCAAGGCGCUUGAGAGAACUCGGGUGAAGGAACUAGGCAAAAUGGUGCCGUAACUUCGGGAGAAGGCACGCUGGUGUGUAGGUGAAGCCCCUGCGGGUGGAGCUGAGACCAGUCGAAGAUACCAGCUGGCUGCAACUGUUUAUUAAAAACACAGCACUGUGCAAACACGAAAGUGGACGUAUACGGUGUGACGCCUGCCCGGUGCCGGAAGGUUAAUUGAUGGGGUUAUCCGUAAGGAGAAGCUCUUGAUCGAAGCCCCGGUAAACGGCGGCCGUAACUAUAACGGUCCUAAGGUAGCGAAAUUCCUUGUCGGGUAAGUUCCGACCUGCACGAAUGGCGUAAUGAUGGCCAGGCUGUCUCCACCCGAGACUCAGUGAAAUUGAACUCGCUGUGAAGAUGCAGUGUACCCGCGGCAAGACGGAAAGACCCCGUGAACCUUUACUAUAGCUUGACACUGAACAUUGAGCCUUGAUGUGUAGGAUAGGUGGGAGGCUUUGAAGCGUGGACGCCAGUCUGCGUGGAGCCAACCUUGAAAUACCACCCUUUAAUGUUUGAUGUUCUAACGUUGGCCCCUUACCGGGGUUGCGGACAGUGUCUGGUGGGUAGUUUGACUGGGGCGGUCUCCUCCCAAAGCGUAACGGAGGAGCACGAAGGUUAGCUAAUCCUGGUCGGACAUCAGGAGGUUAGUGCAAUGGCAUAAGCUAGCUUGACUGCGAGCGUGACGGCGCGAGCAGGUGCGAAAGCAGGUCAUAGUGAUCCGGUGGUUCUGAAUGGAAGGGCCAUCGCUCAACGGAUAAAAGGUACUCCGGGGAUAACAGGCUGAUACCGCCCAAGAGUUCAUAUCGACGGCGGUGUUUGGCACCUCGAUGUCGGCUCAUCACAUCCUGGGGCUGAAGUAGGUCCCAAGGGUAUGGCUGUUCGCCAUUUAAAGUGGUACGCGAGCUGGGUUUAGAACGUCGUGAGACAGUUCGGUCCCUAUCUGCCGUGGGCGCUGGAGAAUUGAGGGGGGCUGCUCCUAGUACGAGAGGACCGGAGUGGACGCAUCACUGGUGUUCGGGUUGUCAUGCCAAUGGCACUGCCCGGUAGCUAAAUGCGGAAGAGAUAAGUGCUGAAAGCAUCUAAGCACGAAACUUGCCCCGAGAUGAGUUCUCCCUGAGACUUUAAGUCUCCUGAAGGAACGUUAAAGACGAUGACGUUGAUAGGCCGGGUGUGUAAGCGCAGCGAUGCGUUGAGCUAACCGGUACUAAUGAACCGUGAGGCUUAACCUUACAACGCCGAAG